This 497-nucleotide ribosomal RNA is filed under the name uncultured bacterium. RNAcentral's name for it is "partial 16S ribosomal RNA". It matches the Rfam family "Bacterial small subunit ribosomal RNA", at positions 28 to 507 of the family's 1533-position model. The record is from RNAcentral.
GACGAACGCUGGCGGCGUGCCUAAUACAUGCAAGUAGAACGCUGAAGAGAGGAGCUUACUCUUCUUGGAUGAGUUGCGAACGGGUGAGUAACGCGUAGGUAACCUGCCUUGUAGCGGGGGAUAACUAUUGGAAACGAUAGCUAAUACCGCAUAACAAUGGAUGACACAUGUCAUUUAUUUGAAAGGGGCAAUUGCUCCACUACAAGAUGGACCUGCGUUGUAUUAGCUAGUAGGUGAGGUAAUGGCUCACCUAGGCGACGAUACAUAGCCGACCUGAGAGGGUGAUCGGCCACACUGGGACUGAGACACGGGCCAGACUCCUACGGGAGGCAGCAGUAGGGAAUCUUCGGCAAUGGGGGCAACCCUGACCGAGCAACGCCGCGUGAGUGAAGAAGGUUUUCGGAUCGUAAAGCUCUGUUGUAAGUCAAGAACGGGUGUGAGAGUGGAAAGUUCACACUGUGACGGUAGCUUACCAGAAAGGGACGGCUAACUACGUG